Molecule: ribosomal RNA, 504 nt
Filed under: Bifidobacterium sp. CB38
Lineage: Bacteria; Bacillati; Actinomycetota; Actinomycetes; Bifidobacteriales; Bifidobacteriaceae
Description: bacterial SSU rRNA
Rfam family: Bacterial small subunit ribosomal RNA
Source: RNAcentral
AGAGUUUGAUCCUGGCUCAGGAUGAACGCUGGCGGCGUGCUUAACACAUGCAAGUCGAACGGGAUCCAUCAAGCUUGCUUGGUGGUGAGAGUGGCGAACGGGUGAGUAAUGCGUGACCGACCUGCCCCAUGCUCCGGAAUAGCUCCUGGAAACGGGUGGUAAUGCCGGAUGUUCCACAUGAUCGCAUGUGAUUGUGGGAAAGAUUUCAUCGGCGUGGGAUGGGGUCGCGUCCUAUCAGCUUGUUGGUGAGGUAACGGCUCACCAAGGCUUCGACGGGUAGCCGGCCUGAGAGGGCGACCGGCCACAUUGGGACUGAGAUACGGCCCAGACUCCUACGGGAGGCAGCAGUGGGGAAUAUUGCACAAUGGGCGCAAGCCUGAUGCAGCGACGCCGCGUGAGGGAUGGAGGCCUUCGGGUUGUAAACCUCUUUUGUUUGGGAGCAAGCCUUCGGGUGAGUGUACCUUUCGAAUAAGCGCCGGCUAACUACGUGCCAGCAGCCGCGGU